CAUACUAAACUACUGGCAGAGAUGUAUUCUCGGAACAGCUUUUUAAAGUCUGUCUGCAAACAACACCAAGAUGAAACGUGUCUCCCAAGCCUGCAUGGGGAUGGCGCUUCUUGGCAGGAGAGGUCCUGCAGGCCAGGAAGAUCACAGCCUGGGCUGCAACCCGUCAAGAGGUCUAGACAGCGGCUUCUAAUUCUGGAAGAGUGGGCCAUUAGCAGAGCCAACAAAUGGCAUGAUGGUAGACCCAUCUAUUGUGGACGCAACUAAGUGUCACAUUUGCUUUCCAAGCAAGAAGCAGGAAGGAAGAAAACGAAAGUGGAAAAGAAAGAGCACUGUAUCAGGAAAGCAAAAGCUUUUCCAGAACUCUCAGCUUCCAAGUCUCACUGACUGCAAUUGUGUCAUAUGGCAGCCCUAGCAGAAAUGGCGUCUGGGCCUAAGUCCCACUCCAGCCCUUGAAUGGACAUGCUCCACUUCCUCAGUCCCCGAUGGAUCAAACGGGCUCUAACACUGAAACCAGAUUACCACAGAGCUCUUCUGAAAAGUCAAGAAAUAGUGAAUAGAAAACAUCUCGAGCUUGCCGUGGAGGAAAAAUCAUAUGAUCAUUAUGAGAGCCAUUUCCGACCUCCUCAGACAAAUCGUUCAUGCCUAGCUUGUCUGCCUUUUGCUAAGUUGAACCUCUGACACGAACUUUCCUCGCUGGCAGAAGCACUGCAAAUGGACACAGAAAUCUGUUUCUCAAGAACAGAACUCACCGCGGGUGGUGCUAGACAGCCUCCUGUCAACGCUUUGAGCACAGAUCCCUCCUUGCUUAGUCUCACCUUUCCCAGGAGAGCUGAAUGCAGAGGAAUUCCAAAAGCCGGAUGCCUGCACUGUUCAGAAACACGACAUACCCACGGGGAAACAGCCAGAUGGAGGCUGAGGAACAGAAGCUAUGCAUGUGACCAGUGUCCCUUCAGAACUAAGGCCUCCUGCAGUUUCUGCAUCAGACAUUAACAGAGACAUAGGAGCUGAAAGAAAUUGGGGCAAUUUGUGAACUAAACUGAAUGUUCCAGCAUUUAAAUGUACCUGAAAUACCCUGUCACGAUACACAACACGCACAGAUACACUUGCAUAAAGUUUAUAGAAAUACAGGUUUCUGCUCAAUCUAAGGACAAUUUCUUUAACACGUAGAGAGUCUGUAAAUGAUGUGGACUGGCUGAUGCUAAAAAGAGUCAAAUGAAAUGACUUAAAUGCCUCAUUGGUACCCAGAGUUGAGUCUGUAGUAUCUAAUUCUUCAAUGGACAAUCUGCCUUGACCUACCUACCUAAUAAGAUAUCUCUAAAUGUUAUAUUCAAUCACUUUAACUAUAAUAAACCAAUUCACCCACGUAUUGCCCUUCAAUACAAACCACCAAAUCACAGAGGAAGACCAAAGGCAAAGGUCAUCUCUAAAUUAUCUCUAAAGAUUUUUUAGAAGGCCUAAUUGUAAACAAAGAAGAGAUUGAAAAUUUUUAGAAGACUGUAGAUG
This is a long non-coding RNA of Equus caballus (horse), 1503 nucleotides long. RefSeq lists it as uncharacterized. Lineage: Eukaryota; Metazoa; Chordata; Mammalia; Perissodactyla; Equidae. The record is from RefSeq and is a predicted model, not a curated record.